UAAUACGUAGGGCGCAAGCGUUGUCCGGAAUUAUUGGGCGUAAAGAGCUCGUAGGCGGUUUGUCGCGUCUGCUGUGAAAGCCCGGGGCUCAACCCCGGGUCUGCAGUGGGUACGGGCAGACUAGAGUGCAGUAGGGGAGACUGGAAUUCCUGGUGUAGCGGUGAAAUGCGCAGAUAUCAGGAGGAACACCGAUGGCGAAGGCAGGUCUCUGGGCUGUUACUGACGCUGAGGAGCGAAAGCAUGGGGAGCGAACAGG
RNAcentral lists this ribosomal RNA (256 nucleotides) under uncultured bacterium. RNAcentral describes it as "partial 16S ribosomal RNA". It matches the Rfam family "Bacterial small subunit ribosomal RNA", at positions 521 to 776 of the family's 1533-position model. The record is from RNAcentral.